This 279-nucleotide signal recognition particle RNA is filed under the name Microcebus murinus (gray mouse lemur). Its description in RNAcentral is "Metazoan signal recognition particle RNA (ENSMICG00000042453.1)". It matches the Rfam family "Metazoan signal recognition particle RNA". Rfam says of the family: The signal recognition particle (SRP) is a universally conserved ribonucleoprotein. It is involved in the co-translational targeting of proteins to membranes. The record is from RNAcentral. Lineage: Eukaryota; Metazoa; Chordata; Mammalia; Primates; Cheirogaleidae.
GCCUGUAGUCCCAGGUUCUCGGGAGGCUGAGGCAGGAUGAUCGCUUGAGCUCAGGAGUUCUGGGCUAUAGUGUGCUAUGCCAAUUGGGUGUCUGCACUAAGUUUGGCAUCAGUAUGGUGACCUCCUUGGAAGGGGGACCACAAGGUUGCCUAACAAGGGGUGAACCAGCCCAGGUCAGAAAUGGAGCAGGUCAAAACUCCUGUGCUAAUCAGUCGUGGGAUCGCACCCGUGAAUACCCACUGCACUCCAGCCUGGGCAAUAUAGCAAGACCCCAUCUCU